CGUAAAUGCAGUGAAAGAAUUGAUCAUACGUCUCUGAACAAAGAUGAAAUACCAAUUCGCCGGAGAUUCGGGUUCCUCAACUGUUUGAUGACAAAAUCUAAAACUCACGACCAGAACCCGACAAGGAAAAAGGGAAGAAAGCAGGAGAAGAAACCGAAGAAGAAACGUUCCCUUUGUCUCUGCUUCAAACCUCAAGCGCUCGGCGAUACAGAAGCGCCGAAAAACCAUGCAAAGAAGGUGAAGGGAAAAUCACAGAGCCGGAAGCUCUGAAACUCUGGAAAAUGGCAGCAAAUAAGAUGGAUCCCAAGAAUUCUUCCUUCUCUGUCACUCGAAAGGGGUUUUUAGAAAGAUUUGUCACUGUCUCGUGUUAGCGUUCUUUUAUAUAAAAAGAAGACUUGUAAGAAAAGGCACCGAUGUGCUCUUCCCGCCCAGAGAGAGUCUCAGCGUGCCAUAGGAAACGUUGGUGGUGAUAAAGAAAGUUUCUUUCGUGUAUACGAAUCGAUCGUCUUGUAAACCCUCUGAACCUUUUGGAGGUUUUCGUCUUCAUAUUAAUUCAGUGAAGGUAUCAUCGAGUCACUUUUCUUU
This is a long non-coding RNA of Tarenaya hassleriana, 585 nucleotides long. RefSeq lists it as uncharacterized. NCBI's taxonomy places the organism in Eukaryota, Viridiplantae, Streptophyta, Magnoliopsida, Brassicales, Cleomaceae. The transcript has 4 exons. The record is from RefSeq and is a predicted model, not a curated record.